Molecule: ribosomal RNA, 237 nt
Filed under: uncultured bacterium
Lineage: Bacteria
Description: partial 16S ribosomal RNA
Rfam family: Bacterial small subunit ribosomal RNA
Source: RNAcentral
CGAACGGGUGAGUAACGCGUGAGAACCUGCCCUCGAAGUGGGGGACAACAGUUGGAAACGACUGCUAAUACCGCAUAAGCCCACGGGUCGGCAUCGACCUGAGGGAAAAGGAGCAAUCCGCUUUGAGAUGGCCUCGCGUCCGAUUAGCUAGUUGGUGAGGUAAUGGCCCACCAAGGCGACGAUCGGUAGCCGGACUGAGAGGUUGAACGGCCACAUUGGGACUGAGACACGGCCCAG